UGGAUGGCCCAGCGAGCUGGAGCCGCCUGCCCCCGAGAGCCCCAUGGCUUUGCUGGCUGACCCAGCUCCAGCUGCUGACCCAGGUCCUGAGGACAUCGGCCCUCCCAUUCCGGAAGCCGAUGAAUUGCUGAAUAAGUUUGUGUGUAAGAACAACGGGGUCCUGUUCGAGAACCAGCUGCUGCAGAUCGGAGUCAAGUCAGAGUUCCGACAGAACCUGGGCCGCAUGUAUCUCUUCUAUGGCAACAAGACCUCGGUGCAGUUCCAGAAUUUCUCACCCACUGUGGUUCACCCGGGAGACCUCCAGACUCAGCUGGCUGUGCAGACCAAGCGUGUGGCGGCGCAGGUGGAUGGCGGCGCGCAGGUGCAGCAGGUGCUCAAUAUCGAGUGUCUGCGGGACUUCCUGACGCCCCCGCUGCUGUCCGUGCGCUUCCGGUACGGUGGCGCCCCCCAGGCCCUCACCCUGAAGCUCCCAGUGACCAUCAACAAGUUCUUCCAGCCCACCGAGAUGGCGGCCCAGGAUUUCUUCCAGCGCUGGAAGCAGCUGAGCCUCCCUCAACAGGAGGCGCAGAAAAUCUUCAAAGCCAACCACCCCAUGGACGCAGAAGUUACUA
Molecule: small RNA, 611 nt
Filed under: Pongo abelii (Sumatran orangutan)
Lineage: Eukaryota; Metazoa; Chordata; Mammalia; Primates; Hominidae
Description: retained intron
Source: RNAcentral